GAUGAACGCUGGCGGCGUGCCUAAUACAUGCAAGUCGAGCGAACAGACGAGGAGCUUGCUCCUCUGACGUUAGCGGCGGACGGGUGAGUAACACGUGGAUAACCUACCUAUAAGACUGGGAUAACUUCGGGAAACCGGAGCUAAUACCGGAUAAUAUAUUGAACCGCAUGGUUCAAUAGUGAAAGACGGUUUUGCUGUCACUUAUAGAUGGAUCCGCGCCGCAUUAGCUAGUUGGUAAGGUAACAGCUUACCAAGGCAACGAUGCGUAGCCGACCUGAGAGGGUGAUCGGCCACACUGGAACUGAGACACGGUCUAGACUCCUACGGGAGGCAGCAGUAGGGAAUCUUCCGCAAUGGGCGAAAGCCUGACGGAGCAACGCCGCGUGAGUGAUGAAGGUCUUCGGAUCGUAAAACUCUGUUAUUAGGGAAGAACAAAUGUGUAAGUAACUAUGCACGUCUUGACGGUACCUAAUCAGAAAGCCACGGCUAGCUACGUG
RNAcentral lists this ribosomal RNA (497 nucleotides) under uncultured bacterium. Its description in RNAcentral is "partial 16S ribosomal RNA". It matches the Rfam family "Bacterial small subunit ribosomal RNA", at positions 28 to 507 of the family's 1533-position model. The record is from RNAcentral.